GACAGAGGGUGCAAACGUUGCUCGGAAUCACUGGGCAUAAAGCGCACGUAGGUGGCCAAGUAAGUGCGGUGUGAAAGCCCCCGGCCCAACCGGGGAAUUGCGCCGCAAACUGCCUGGCUGGAGCUUGAGAGGGGAGAGUGGAACUCCUGGUGGAGCGGUGGAAUGCGUAGAUAUCAGGAGGAACGCCGGAGGUGAAGACGACUCUCUGGCUCAAUGCUGACACUGAGGUGCGAAAGCUAGGGGAGCAAACAGG
This 253-nucleotide ribosomal RNA is filed under the name uncultured bacterium. RNAcentral describes it as "partial 16S ribosomal RNA". It matches the Rfam family "Bacterial small subunit ribosomal RNA", at positions 524 to 776 of the family's 1533-position model. The record is from RNAcentral.